RNAcentral lists this long non-coding RNA (2564 nucleotides) under Vigna radiata. Its description in RNAcentral is "long non-coding RNA (VRAD_LNC009031)". The record is from RNAcentral. Lineage: Eukaryota; Viridiplantae; Streptophyta; Magnoliopsida; Fabales; Fabaceae.
CUCGUAUCAAGUGGUUAUCAGAGCCCAGGUUGCGUCCACGCUAUAAGAGCUAAGUAUAUCCUUCUGUCUUUAUUCUUGUUUUCAUUUGAUUUGCGUUUUUCGUUGAUGCCAUUUUCUGUCUCAGUUUUGAUUCAUGUUUCUGUUUCGUUCUCUGUUAUUUCUUCACUUCUUGUGUUGAGUUUUGUUUUUGUGAAUCUGUCUUGNUUUUAUUCUUUGCGAUUUGUUCAUUUGAUUCGCGUUUAUUGAGUUGUUCAUUUUUUCCUUUAAUAUUCUGUGCAUCUGUUUGCUCAUCCUGUGCUUGAGUUUGUGUUUUGAGUCUUCUUCAUUUUAAUUCGGUGAAUCCAAGUAGUUUGAGUCUUUUGCUUGAGAAAUCAAUUUCUGUUAUGUCAAAGUCGUGUUGCUUUGUUUUAAUUGUCAAUUAAAUCUGAGUUUAACUGUGAUUCAAUUGAGUUUAUGGCUUUGAGUAAGAUCUGUACAUCAUCAUAAGCAGUGACAUUCAAGUGAAUGAGCUUGAUGACAGACUUCAAUAGCAGUUUUAAUGUCAGUUCAUUUAUUUGAAGCUNUCUUGAGUUUUGAUGCUGUCCAUUACAUGUAAUUGUGUUGAACUAAAAUCCAGAGUGAAUACUGUAAAUCCUGAUAUUGCUUUUGCAAUUGGUAGUAUAACUGGAAAGUUCAUGGCAUCUGUUUUCAUCAGGCAGUAGGCCGAACUGCCUAAGUUCAUUGCUAAAGUUGUUUUUUGUGUGUGUCAAAUNUGGUUGAGUAUUUAGUUCAUGACCAACCAUCUAAAAUUGUUGUUCUGCUAUUUGAGCAAGUUUUCCAUACUGUUUUAAGUUCAAUUCUGGUGCAUUCAUUUAGUAUAAUCUGCUGUUUCACAAUUUGGCUAUUAGAGUGAUUGAGUGAAAAUGCAUAAGGAACUGCACAUAUCAUAAUCUGAUAUAAGCUGAAUCUGUGCAAAAUUUUUCGUCAAACAAGAUUCAAAUCAUCAUUAAAACUUGUUGGAGCAAAGAGGANUUGACUUUAUUUGGAUUUGUGCAUUUUCACUAGUCAACUAGUCCAUUUUUCUUAAACUCUGACCAGUCCAACUCAAGUGCUGCAUAAUUGUGUUAAGUCCAGCUGAAGUGUGUUUAAAUUCUAUGAAAAUGUUGUAGCAAAAGCUGGAUUCCAUAUAAAAGAAAUAUAGCAAUCAAAAGAAAAUGAAUUGACAGUGAAGAAAAAAAGCAUUGAAUCCGUGCAACAGGCUGUUUUGGAAAGUCUGCAGAUUGUAAAAUUUAAUACUAGCUGGACUGUCUUUGAGGCAUAUUAACAAACAGUUUGUGGAAUUGGCAUUUUAUCAUUGACUNCACCUCUUUUGUUGAUUGAGUCAUUUGUUUGUGUUUUAAAUCUGUUCUAGAGCUAUUCCUAGGUUCUGUUUGUGUGCCAGCUUUUAUUGAAAGCUUUUGUUUCUUGCUUGUAUUGAUUGAUAACUCUGGUUUUGUCCAUCACGUGCAUUCUGUUCUGCUGAUUAUAAUUGAAGCUUUCCUUUGCUUUUGAAAUCUGGUUUAGAGCUCUGAGUAGAGUUUGAUCUGUGUUGACCAUUUCCAUUGCUUUGUUUUGUCCUGUUCUGUUUACCUGUUAUUGCUUUUGCUUAGCCUAUCCAUCUCUGGUUUGAGAAGCUUUCACUCUUGGUGUUUAUUUGGAAAUUUGAAAAGGUUUGUGUGCUUGGUAGCAUCUUAGGUGGUGGUGGUCUAAAAGACUCUCCAGCCCUGAACUAACAAGGGAGAAUCUCUCUUCUAAACCUUUCAUCUGUGUGAUUAAAAGUUUUUAAGAGAAGCCUUCAGAAAAAANUCUUGAGUUUGUGAGCUUUGUNUGGCUGCAUCUAAGAGCCAAAUUUCUUGUUGAGAGUGUGUUUUGAUUUUAAGUGCUGCUAUAAGUUUUAAAUUGAACUGUGUGCUAACUGUUUACUUGUGCAGCAUCACAUAAUCUGUUUGGCAAAGCAAACUGCUACUGCAAUCACUCCAAUUUAGUUUGACUACUGCAUAAUAUUCUGCACUGACUUGUUUGGGAAUUCUAUUAAAUAGUUGCAACAGUUUUGGAAGUUGGCCAAUGAAUCUGAGAAAACAGCAGCCUAAUCACUUCAUAUUGGAGUUGAACUGAAGGGAGUCUUUAACUUCAGUGCCUUUGUUUUCUUUCAGUGCAUUGUUCCUGUUAUUGUUUGGCAUUGAUUAGCAUUAGGAGAAGUAUUGAAUUAGUGUUGAAUUCUUGGUGCAGCAGAUUUCAAUUUGAAAGCACAGGAAAUUCUGCAGCUUCACCAAGUGCUGAGACCGAGAGCUUCCANGGAAAUUCGUUGUGCAGAUUGGAACUUAUUGGCAUUACCACAGUAGNAUAANCAUUCCUGUGUGCAGUUUUGUAUUGAAGAUUACAAAUUGAGUGCGAAUAGGAUUCAUGCUCUACGUCAAUUGUGCAACACCGAGAAAGGGAGAAUUCUUUAUCUUGUGCAUUCUAUUUUGUAAUNUGUUAGGAAAAAGUCACUUAACCAGGUUUGUGUAUCUGAUUUGGCAGAAUUAAAAUAGUCCAGAAAACCAAAG